CGUGGCGUGGCGGGCGCGCGCGACCUGCAAAGCCGCUGGGACGCGCUGCGCGGCGUGGUCGACGCGCGCCGCCACGC
RNAcentral lists this transfer RNA (77 nucleotides) under Duganella phyllosphaerae. Its description in RNAcentral is "tRNA-Cys". The record is from RNAcentral. Lineage: Bacteria; Pseudomonadati; Pseudomonadota; Betaproteobacteria; Burkholderiales; Oxalobacteraceae.